RNAcentral lists this long non-coding RNA (788 nucleotides) under Pogona vitticeps (central bearded dragon). RNAcentral describes it as "lncRNA (ENSPVIG00000021334.1)". The record is from RNAcentral. Lineage: Eukaryota; Metazoa; Chordata; Lepidosauria; Squamata; Agamidae.
AACAAAAUGCCUUUUCGGUGUGUGAAUCCUGAAGCUUAUUUUUUUCGAGAACAUUGUGAGUUCAUAUCUUACAUUGGCUAAUUGAUAGGCGUGAUCACAUGCCUGGGGAUUUUAAUCAGAAAAAAACCCAUAAAUUUGUUAUUUGUGAUUUUUCAACCUUGAUGAAUCACAAAUCAAAAUGAACCACCAUUUUUCUGAUCUAUGCCUAUCUCUAGUUCAUGUCUAUAAGUGUUAAUUUCGCUUUCUUGGUCUCUCUCUCUCUUUUAACAGGAAACUUUUAGGAGUCUUGCAUUUAUAACCCUCCAGUCAUCGUUACUUUUUCAGAUGUCAAAAAUUGAAAAUCGGUGGGGAUAAUAAAAGGCAGCUGAUUUCCUGGCCCUUGACAAUCUAGUUAAGCAUCUGACUGAGAAUGUUGGCACCAGCGUUGGAGGAAUCACUGAGCCUCAACUCAAGCUUUUCAACAGGCAGUAGGCAAGAUACAUUGGACAGCUUCAGACUGAAACCUGGCUUGAACCAUCAUGUGUUUUCCCUAUGUUUAUGCUUUUUAGAGAAAAAACUGCUGCUCAUAUAUGCAGAUCAUCAUCAUUCUUAGUUAUAAUGUCUUUUUAAAAAUCACUAGUCUUUUGUCCUGUGAGCUGUGUUGUCUGGUAGAAAUCAUCUUCAUGCUGUACAAUUUUUUUUUAAAUAUGGAGAGUGAUAGAAAUUAAAUUAAAGAAAGCAAUUACAGAAGCUCUCUGAGUUCUCCUUUCUUUCAUACUACACACGUGAGGAUAAGGACUUAUUAAUAG